Molecule: ribosomal RNA, 433 nt
Filed under: uncultured bacterium
Lineage: Bacteria
Description: partial 16S ribosomal RNA
Rfam family: Bacterial small subunit ribosomal RNA
Source: RNAcentral
AACGAACGCUGGCGGCAUGCCUAACACAUGCAAGUCGAACGAGACCUUCGGGUCUAGUGGCGCACGGGUGCGUAACGCGGGGGAACCUGCCCUUAGGUUCGGAAUAACUCCCCGAAAGGGGUGCUAAUACCGGAUAAUGUCUUCGGACCAAAGAUUUAUCGCCUUUGGAUGGGCCCGCGUUGGAUUAGCUAGUUGGUAGGGUAAAAGCCUACCAAGGCGACGAUCCAUAGCUGGUCUGAGAGGAUGAUCAGCCACACUGGGACUGAGACGCGGCCCAGACUCCUACGCGAGGCAGCAGUGGGUAAUCUUGGCCUAUGGGCGAAAGCCUGAUCCAGCUAUGCCGCGUGAGUGAUGAAGGCCUUAGGGUUGUAAAGCUCUUUUACCCGGGAUGAUAAUGACAGUACCGGGAGAAUAAGCUCCGGCUAACUCCGUG